Long non-coding RNA from Drosophila virilis, 2270 nucleotides. RefSeq lists it as uncharacterized. NCBI's taxonomy places the organism in Eukaryota, Metazoa, Arthropoda, Insecta, Diptera, Drosophilidae. The record is from RefSeq and is a predicted model, not a curated record.
UGUUGGAUGUGUGUGAGUAUGAGCACCCAAGCGGUAUGAGCGUAAGUGUGAGUUUGAGUGCGAGCGUAAAUGGUUGUUUGAAGCACUCGGACUGAGCCUCUGGCUGUAACUCUCAGCAUUAUGCUAUUGGCAGCUCAAAUGUCAAAGUCGGUCGCACCGGAUUUCUAUGGUUCAUAAAUCCUAAAGGAAAGAUCGGUCUUAAGCAAAUAAAUGAACUGCAUGCCCUGGCCGCACCCAAUUUGAAUAUUUUGAUUUUAGCAAUUGCCCGACUCUUGGGCAAGGCAAAUUAAACUACUCUAAACUUGUUUUUCAGUUUCCGAUAUCCUCACACAAACCCAAAUUUAAUUGAACUCUGGCAUUUAGCCUGCAAGUGUCGCGGUGCAUUUAUUACGGGUAUUCAGCUGAGACAGAUUGAUUAACACAGUACAAUUUGAAAUUUGCGCUUCAGCUGUCGCAUCAACUAAAAGGCAUUAAAUCAAUAUGCAUAUUGCAUAUAUAUUAUGCGUGGUUUUUCAUAUUAAAUUUCAAUUAAUUAAUUUGUGAACUGACAAAGGAAGUCAAUGACAUGUGCAAAAUGCUUAAAUCAUUUUAUUUUGUUAUUUUUUCAUUUCCCUGGCUUUGUUUUGCCCAGUCUAUGAGGAGAAGUCUAUGCGCAGGAAUCAUGGCGCCAAUUGAUGGGUCAAUAUUUUACAUUUCAAUAUAGCCGCAUCCCAUGGGCGGCAUGCGGCACAUUGUUUUUUCGCCUCCGUGUAAAAUUCAAUAUGCAUAAAUUCAUAAAAUACCAACUGCAGCUUUGAUAAAAAAAAAAUAAAUUAACAGAAAAUACAAAAUGUGAAUAUUUAAUUUAGCAGACAGUGUAACCAAAUAGUAUGAGAUGUUGGACACAUGUAGAAAAUACUAAAUGUCAACAAAUGAAAACCAAUUUAAAGCUCGAGGCUGGCUGGAGCAGAGUAUUGCCAAAUCCCCAAACCGGUUAAAUAUACAAAUUAUGCGUUAAUAAAAAUUAUUUCUGCUCGUUUGUGCCGUACCACCGUACCACCACCUUAAACAGCACCGGUUUUUAUACGUCAGUAACCUGAACGAUAUAAUAUAAAUAUUUAUGGUUUCUUUUUCUAACUCUGCCGCCAGCAGCAGUUGUCUGCAGUCCUACCAGAGUUUUUGUAUCUGUUUUGGCUUCUGUUAUCGUAGUCAAUUUGUUUUGUUCAUAAUAACUGACCUUGACUUCCAUUCGAAAGGAAAAGUGAUGCUCCAACUGGCGACUCGGAUUAAAAACCUGUCUUUAAAAGACGCAGCUUCCCAAAAACCUUCAGCAAGAUCAACAUAAUGUAAUGGGGUAAAAAGAAGCUCUGUUGAAGAUAUAUCGAGAAAUUAAUAGCUCCAAUGUACUUAUUAAAACUGUUUGCAAAGUCAUAUUAUAUGUGGUAGAUAUAUUUUCAAAUUGGUUUUCUUCUCAUACUCUCCCAACUCGCAUUUCUCUCUCGCUCUCCCACAGCGGAAUUUAUUACCUGUAAAUGGUAAGCGCCAAUCGUCAAUGGUAAAAACGAGUUUCGAGUUGAUUUUUUAAUAUUGCCUGGCCCAACUGGCCACCAGAAGUAUCGAGUGCAAGUCGCAGUCAGGCCGGCCCAGCUGACCUUGCUUUUAAACAUCUUGUGCUACCGGUAGACCCCUUACUUCCAUGAUAUUGGUCACAGAGGGGCAUUGCUGGGUGUAAUGCAGCUGUUGGCCCUCAACUAGACAGACUCUACAGAACAAUUACCACAGUUCUUUGUCAUUUUAAUAUGGCAAAUACAUAUACAUAUAAUACCCUCGAAUUUGUGCAAAAAUUAAUUAGACUGCGCCACGUCAGUUUCAGUGAGACCCAAUGCGGAAAACACAAAUCAUACAUACUUUCCCAACUAGUUUUACAAUGCCUCGACAAAGAGCUAGGUGUGUCCAUUGUGCAUCAAAUCAGGAAAGUGUUGUGCUUAUCAAUGUGUUGAUAAGUAAAAACAAAAGCAACUAUCUAUUCGCUGACAAUAUAAUAAAAAAGCCAACUUACAAAAAAGGCUGAUGCAAAAAGUUUUCGAAUUUUUGGUUUUCUUUAAUUGAAAAACUCAUUAAAUAAAAUAAUGUAAGCCGAUAUACUUUUUGCAAAUUGCUAGCGUAAAUUGAUGUACAUGGACAAUUAAUUGUUGUUAUAAAUUUUACUCUCUGACUUACAUUACAAAAAAUGUUGUAGAUGAAAUGUUUCAAAGUCACUUUCAAAGUUUUAUCUCUAGCAGCAAAUUAAA